GACGAACGCUGGCGGCGUGCUUAACACAUGCAAGUCGAACGGAAAGGCCCUGCUUUUGUGGGGUGCUCGAGUGGCGAACGGGUGAGUAACACGUGAGUAACCUGCCCUUGACUUUGGGAUAACUUCAGGAAACUGGGGCUAAUACCGGAUAGGAGCUCCUGCUGCAUGGUGGGGGUUGGAAAGUUUCGGCGGUUGGGGAUGGACUCGCGGCUUAUCAGCUUGGUGGUGGGGUAGUGGCUUACCAAGGCGUUGACGGGUAGCCGGCCUGAGAGGGUGACCGGCCACAUUGGGACUGAGAUACGGCCCAGACUCCUACGGGAGGCAGCAGUGGGGAAUAUUGCACAAUGGGCGGAAGCCUGAUGCAGCAACGCCGCGUGCGGGAUGACGGCCUUCGGGUUGUAAACCGCUUUCGCCUGUGACGAAGCGUGAGUGACGGUAAUGGGUAAAGAAGCACCGGCUAACUACGUG
This 468-nucleotide ribosomal RNA is filed under the name uncultured bacterium. RNAcentral describes it as "partial 16S ribosomal RNA". It matches the Rfam family "Bacterial small subunit ribosomal RNA", at positions 28 to 507 of the family's 1533-position model. The record is from RNAcentral.